CGGUCGCGGAGCCGCGACCGGCGGAGACGGCGGGGAGACGAGGCGAGGGACGACGACGACCGACACCAGCAGCAGCGAGCACCGAUUCCGCGACACGAGAUGCGCGCAUAUGCUAAUCAAGUGGGCGACGAGCGAGACCCUUUCUUUAUAGCGAACGGGCAGAGAGGAGGAUUGGGACAUUGGGUUUCUUUUCCUUUCCUCUCCGCAUUGAUCUCGCCACGUCGCUUUGACGACGAUGCGUCGGAUGCUUAACAUGGAAGGCAGGGUGCCGACGAAUCUAGCUGCGUUUAGCAGGUGAAAUGGAAAUUUUUAUGUGUCAUAUCAGACAUUCGAUCUGACGUCGAAAGAAAUUUUUUGAUAAGAAUGAAAAAAUGAAUUUUACGGUUGGCAUGGAAACCACAAGACGAAUCUUUUGAG
This 417-nucleotide long non-coding RNA is filed under the name Oryza brachyantha (malo sina). Its description in RNAcentral is "long non-coding RNA (OBRA_LNC001487)". The record is from RNAcentral. Lineage: Eukaryota; Viridiplantae; Streptophyta; Magnoliopsida; Poales; Poaceae.